RNAcentral lists this ribosomal RNA (243 nucleotides) under uncultured bacterium. RNAcentral's name for it is "partial 16S ribosomal RNA". It matches the Rfam family "Bacterial small subunit ribosomal RNA", at positions 111 to 354 of the family's 1533-position model. The record is from RNAcentral.
UAACGCGUGGAUAACCUGCCUCACACAGGGGGAUAACAGUUAGAAAUGACUGCUAAUACCGCAUAAGCGCACAGUCUCGCAUGGGACAGUGUGAAAAGCUGAGGUGGUGUGAGAUGGAUCCGCGUCUGAUUAGGCAGUUGGCGGGGUAACGGCCCACCAAACCGACGAUCAGUAGCCGGCCUGAGAGGGUGAACGGCCACAUUGGGACUGAGACACGGCCCAAACUCCUACGGGAGGCAGCAG